Amblyraja radiata (thorny skate) is the source of this 138-nucleotide long non-coding RNA. RefSeq lists it as uncharacterized. The record is from RefSeq and is a predicted model, not a curated record. Lineage: Eukaryota; Metazoa; Chordata; Chondrichthyes; Rajiformes; Rajidae. The transcript is spliced from 3 exons.
AUCACUACCCACCAAGUUCAUGAUUUUCGAUAUUCUACUUGUGUUUGCUUUAUUCAUUUCUUCCUUUGUACUGCAUCUGCACUCCAUCCUGAUCCAGGUGCCCACCAGCCCAGUUAAGGUCAGCAGCAGCUCCACUCA